UACGAAGGGGGCUAGCGUUGUUCGGAAUUACUGGGCGUAAAGGGUGCGUAGGCGGCUUUGUAAGUCGGGGGUGAAAGCCUGUGGCUCAACCUCAGAAUUGCCUUCGAUACUGCAUGGCUUGAGACCGGAAGAGGUAAGUGGAACUGCGAGUGUAGAGGUGAAAUUCGUAGAUAUUCGCAAGAACACCAGUGGCGAAGGCGGCUUACUGGUCCGGUUCUGACGCUGAGGCGCGAAAGCGUGGGGAGCAAACAGG
RNAcentral lists this ribosomal RNA (253 nucleotides) under uncultured bacterium. RNAcentral's name for it is "partial 16S ribosomal RNA". It matches the Rfam family "Bacterial small subunit ribosomal RNA", at positions 524 to 776 of the family's 1533-position model. The record is from RNAcentral.